Molecule: ribosomal RNA, 498 nt
Filed under: uncultured bacterium
Lineage: Bacteria
Description: bacterial SSU rRNA
Rfam family: Bacterial small subunit ribosomal RNA
Source: RNAcentral
AUUGAACGCUGGCGGAAUGCUUUACACAUGCAAGUCGAACGGUAGAGGGGGCAACCCCUUGAGAGUGGCGAACGGGUGAGUAAUAUAUCGGAACGUGCCCAGUCGUGGGGAUAACGUAGCGAAAGUUACGCUAAUACCGCAUACGAUCUAAGGAUGAAAGCGGGGGACUCGCAAGAGCCUCGCGCGAUUGGAGCGGCCGAUAUCAGAUUAGGUAGUUGGUGGGGUAAAGGCUCACCAAGCCAACGAUCUGUAGCUGGUCUGACGAGGACGACCAGCCACACUGGAACUGAGACACGGUCCAGACUCCUACGGGAGGCAGCAGUGGGGAAUUUUUGGACAAUGGACGCAAGUCUGAUCCAGCCAUUCCGCGUGCAGGAUGAAGGCCCUCGGGUUGUAAACUGCUUUUGUACGGAACGAAAAGGUUUCUAUUAAUACUAGGAGCUCAUGACGGUACCGUAACGGAAUAAGCACCGGACUAACUACGUAGCCAGCAGCCGC